GACUGAAGAGUUUUCGUAAGCAUCAGAUCUUAUGGGAGGCAUGAUCUUAAAUGUGAGUAAAAGAAAAUUAGAGGAGAUUCAAUGUCUUAGACUCUAUAGCCUGAAAUAGAAUAACAAGAAUGGGAAACAUUUCUAAUUGUCUUGUAGGCUCUACCUUAUAAGUGUCGCGUGCUACACACCCAUAAAAGGGAAUCCAGUUGACACAACUUUAUGGAAACUCAAUUUAACAUGAAU
Molecule: long non-coding RNA, 234 nt
Filed under: Capsicum annuum
Lineage: Eukaryota; Viridiplantae; Streptophyta; Magnoliopsida; Solanales; Solanaceae
Description: long non-coding RNA (CANN_LNC011179)
Source: RNAcentral